UACGUAGGGGGGCAAGCGUUGUCCGGAUUUAUUGGGCGUAAAGAGCGUGUAGGCGGCCAGACAAGUCUGCUGUGAAAACUCGAGGCUCAACCUCGAGCUGUCGGUGGAAACUGUCUGGCUAGAGUCCGGAAGAGGAGAGUGGAAUUCCUGGUGUAGCGGUGAAAUGCGCAGAUAUCAGGAAGAACACCUAUGGCGAAGGCAGCUCUCUGGGACGGUACUGACGCUGAGACGCGAAAGCGUGGGGAGCGAACAGG
This 254-nucleotide ribosomal RNA is filed under the name uncultured bacterium. RNAcentral describes it as "partial 16S ribosomal RNA". It matches the Rfam family "Bacterial small subunit ribosomal RNA", at positions 524 to 776 of the family's 1533-position model. The record is from RNAcentral.